UCACCAGACUCCUACGGGAGGCAGCAGGGGGGAAUAUUGGACAAUGGGGGGAACCCUGAUCCAGCGACGCCGCGUGAGUGAAGAAGUAUUUCGGUAUGUAAAGCUCUAUCAGCAGGGAAGAAAGAAAUGACGGUACCUGACUAAGAAGCCCCGGCUAACUACGUGCCAGCAGCCACGGUAAUACGUAGGGGGCAAGCGUUAUCCGGAUUUACUGGGUGUAAAGGGAGCGUAGACGGCGAUGCAAGUCUGAAGUGAAAGGCGGGGGCCCAACCCCCGGACUGCUUUGGAAACUGUAUAGCUGGAGUGCAGGAGAGGUAAGUGGAAUUCCUAGUGUAGCGGUGAAAUGCGUAGAUAUUAGGAGGAACACCAGUGGCGAAGGAGGCUUACUGGACUGUAACUGACGUUGAGGCUCGAAAGCGUGGGGAGCAACCAGGAUUAGAUACCCCCGUAA
RNAcentral lists this ribosomal RNA (451 nucleotides) under uncultured bacterium. Its description in RNAcentral is "bacterial SSU rRNA". It matches the Rfam family "Bacterial small subunit ribosomal RNA", at positions 328 to 793 of the family's 1533-position model. The record is from RNAcentral.